This is a long non-coding RNA of Micropterus dolomieu (smallmouth bass), 509 nucleotides long. RefSeq lists it as uncharacterized. The transcript is spliced from 3 exons. The record is from RefSeq and is a predicted model, not a curated record. NCBI's taxonomy places the organism in Eukaryota, Metazoa, Chordata, Actinopteri, Centrarchiformes, Centrarchidae.
CCAGGAACCCUCUCACCUUCUGAGACUUCUUCUUCCCCUCAUACACCUGAGCCACCACACACUGGGCCUUUUUACUGUUGUUCCCCCACUGACACCCAGACCGGCCCCUCAUACCCCUGAGCCACCACACAGUAAUGGACCAGCUACAUUGAGGUGGUUCUAUCUGCGAUGGAAAACAGAGGACGGCGGGCCAAAAGCGACUCAAAGUAGAGUUGAGCUGGUGCCAGCGAUGGAAAAGCACUAUGGCUGGGCCUUCUGCUUUUGUUGCCCCACCGGCACAGAGACCGCAUCAGGAUAUAAGAAGGGUAAGGACAGAGCUCCAGCCUCAGGGACCUUUUUAUUAUAGCAUCUGCCUCCACAUCCAGAACUCACUGACACUGUGUCUGCGCUCCCAUCCCUUUUUCGGGGGGGUAAACCAGAGAGUGACAUUAUGGCGAGACUGAGAAAUAAUUACAUUCUCCCAUGUAUGGGCAUGUAUCUUCUACGAUAAAUCUUAAUUGUUGUUUUAA